AGUGGAUGGAUUCUCAUAGGCAUCGUUCAUACGGCGGCGACCUCGACGGUAGGUCUUGCGCAGCCCGCCGGCGAUUGCCUGCCAACCAUCCUCCUCCAACUCCCACCCAUCGACGCGAUCGCGUGCUGCUCGAAUCGUCUCCUCGAACUCUUCCAGCCGGGCAUCGAGGUCGAACUCAUGCGUGGCGAUGUGCUCGCGGCGGUGCGCUAGCUCCCCUGAAACAGAUACGAAUCGCUCGCGAUCGAUAACGUCCCCGAACAGUUCCAUCAACUGCUCGAACGUUUCAAUCAUCGCCUCGGCGUCCCGAAGCGCAGAGAGACGGCGCGCG
This 328-nucleotide unclassified non-coding RNA is filed under the name uncultured fungus. RNAcentral describes it as "sequence contains ITS1". The record is from RNAcentral. Lineage: Eukaryota; Fungi.